This 271-nucleotide ribosomal RNA is filed under the name uncultured bacterium. Its description in RNAcentral is "partial 16S ribosomal RNA". It matches the Rfam family "Bacterial small subunit ribosomal RNA", at positions 524 to 794 of the family's 1533-position model. The record is from RNAcentral.
UACGGAGGGUGCGAGCGUUAAUCGGAAUUACUGGGCGUAAAGGGCGCGUAGGCGGCCGAUCAAGUCAGAUGUGAAAGCCCUGGGCUUAACCCGGGAAGCGCGCUUGAUACUGCAGGGCUUGAGUGUGGGAGAGGAUGAUGGAAUUCCCAGUGUAGAGGUGAAAUUCGUAGAUAUUGGGAAGAGCACCGGUGGCGAAGGCGAUCAUCUGGACCACAACUGACGCUGAGGCGCGAAAGCGUGGGGAGCAAACAGGAUUAGAAACCCUGGUAGU